GACGAACGCUGGCGGCGUGCUUAACACAUGCAAGUCGAACGGAAAGGCCCUGCUUUUGUGGGGUGCUCGAGUGGCGAACGGGUGAGUAACACGUGAGUAACCUGCCCUUGACUUUGGGAUAACUUCAGGAAACUGGGGCUAAUACCGGAUAGGAGCUCCUGCUGCAUGGUGGGGGUUGGAAAGUUUCGGCGGUUGGGGAUGGACUCGCGGCUUAUCAGCUUGUUGGUGGGGUAGUGGCUUGCCAAGGCUUUGACGGGUAGCCGGCCUGAGAGGGUGACCGGCCACAUUGGGACUGAGAUACGGCCCAGACUCCUACGGGAGGCAGCAGUGGGGAAUAUGACACAAUGGGCGGAAGCCUGAUGCAGCAACGCCGCGUGCGGGAUGACGGCCUUCGGGUUGUAAACCGCUUUAGCCUGUGACGAAGCGUGAGUGACGGUAAUGGGUAAAGAAGCACCGGCUAACUACGUG
RNAcentral lists this ribosomal RNA (468 nucleotides) under uncultured bacterium. Its description in RNAcentral is "partial 16S ribosomal RNA". It matches the Rfam family "Bacterial small subunit ribosomal RNA", at positions 28 to 507 of the family's 1533-position model. The record is from RNAcentral.